Molecule: long non-coding RNA, 476 nt
Filed under: Amphimedon queenslandica
Lineage: Eukaryota; Metazoa; Porifera; Demospongiae; Haplosclerida; Niphatidae
Description: uncharacterized LOC109591055, transcript variant X2
Source: RNAcentral
UGUAUUAUUAGUUAUUUAUUUAUUUUAGGAGUAUUCAAACUUCAUGAACUGUAUCCAAUGGAUCUAUCCACAGGACAGGAUAAACUGUUUAACGGUGUAUAUGAAACACUUGGCUCAUUUCUUUAAGACUUGAACCUUAUAUUUAACAAUGUGCUAAAAAGAUAUUCAAACAAGAUCUCAGCCUCAAGAGCAUUGUCUUUUUAAAUGUUCAUUUUGUGGUUGAUCCACCAAUAUUGUCUUAAAUCGGACACUAAGUAAGUACAUUUACAUUAAUAACUGUGCAAUUAUGGCAAAUAUACAUGUACUUUUAAUGGGUAAGCCUAAAGAAAGCAAACCGUUACAUUAUUGUUAAAGUCAAUGCCUUCAUCUAUACACGUACAGUACACUUACAUGUAUUAUAAAAAAAUUGUCACCCUGCUACAUGUGUAUAUUUUUUAUGAAAUUUAAAUGUCCAUUUAAAAGAUUUUGCAAAAUAA